GCACCAUCAAAAAAAUCUUGCCAAAUACAUGAAUCACCAUCUCAUCCAUCAGGUACAGUAGAUGGUACUCACUAUCUAUAUUUGUAGCUGCUUCCAGAUCUUCUCCUCCAUGAUGAUCAGCUUCUUCUCGUACAAGAGAGCAUCGAUCAACUUAUGUUGGAUGAGCACGGUCUUCACCCUUGCUUGCUGUAAGGAGAAAUUACUCUUUCUAUCGAAUCGGUUGAUCUCCACCUUGAUUGUGCUUGUCUUCUCCAUCUCUAAUCUCGAUUAAUACCAUCACUAUCUGGAUCAUCUGGUACUACUUAUCCAUGGUAACCAGGCUUUGAUACCAAUUAUUGUGCUCUAAUAUCACUUAUUUAGGAAGAAAAAAAGAAGAAAGAGAUAGAAAAAUACCAUAAAUAAAUCAAGAUAA
This 412-nucleotide long non-coding RNA is filed under the name Elaeis guineensis (African oil palm). Its description in RNAcentral is "long non-coding RNA (EGUI_LNC049886)". Lineage: Eukaryota; Viridiplantae; Streptophyta; Magnoliopsida; Arecales; Arecaceae. The record is from RNAcentral.